This is a long non-coding RNA of Ixodes scapularis (black-legged tick), 2162 nucleotides long. RefSeq lists it as uncharacterized. The transcript is spliced from 2 exons. The record is from RefSeq and is a predicted model, not a curated record. NCBI's taxonomy places the organism in Eukaryota, Metazoa, Arthropoda, Arachnida, Ixodida, Ixodidae.
GGUGGAUGGAGGAGGAACGGAGGGAGACAAUCCAGGCGAUUGCAGCAUCACCGCAGGAUGGGAGCCACGGCGGGCCGAAAGAACCGGGCUGAGGCGGUGGCCACCCAUAGAACUCGGAGGACAAGGCCGCCGGUCCGCGGGCUGAUCAGCCGAGGCGAGGGACACGGCACGGAGGACAAAAACGCUUCCUGGGACCAAUUAGGGAAGACAAACUGCCGCCGACUCCGAGAAGAAAGCCUGACUGACACAAGGCGUGUCGGAUCGGCCGGUUUCUUCUUCCCCCGGGCCCCGCUGAUUGGACUCCGAGUCCAGCGGUCCGGCCGCUCUAUUCAAUGUUCCUCCCGUUUAAUCCAAUCUCUCAAAUACUAGAGCGCAAGCGGGACGAUGGCACCGAGGGCUUGCCGAGGCGGCGGCGUUGGCAUCGCAAGUUGAGCUCUAGUGUUCUACAUCUACCCUGUAGAUCCGAAUUUGUCUGCAACAAGACUACAAAUUCGGUUCUAGAGAGGUUUGUGUGGUACAUACGAAACGACAACUCGGCGAUGGAGCAGCGGCUGCGAGCUUCACGAGGGCGACUUUGGAAGAACACGGGUCGUUUGUAACUACAGUUGUUUUCAGGAAUGCAGCGUUUUUUUUUUUUUUUUUAUUAUUAUCAUUUAGUAUCAAAUGGCAUUGUCGUGUCGUAAUGUCUUGAACGGAGACUUGCUGGGUGCGUGCUUUUAAUUUCUAUUUGAUUUCUAAAUUAAUAUUUUUUUGUGUUUGUGUUAGAGUGCGUGGAUGGGUGCUUGUUGCUACGGAAAUAAACAAUCACAGCUAAUUUCCUUUCAUUUGAUUUUCCGGUGUUGUAGUCUUUUUCUUACAGGUGCAAUCCAGCUGGUGAAGUAUCUUGAACCAGGAAAAAGUUCGCCUCGGCAUAUGGUCUUGUUAUUGACAUUGUAAAGCUUUCAGAUAUGCAGUAAACAAAAGAUUACAAUUACACCCCCAAUGAUAAGAAGAAACACCAAGACAGGGAGACGACACCCGUGUGCCUUAGUUUCCUCCCCCUUUGUGUCCUUCAGUCUAAAAUAUAUUCUUUCAAUGUGCCUUUUAUACUACAUUUUCCAGAAUCGGGAAGGGAAUAUUGAAAUAGUUUAAAGCAGCGAACCUCCGGGUUUUAUCAUAAUAUAUGUUUAGGCAUAUGGUUUUAUUUUAGCAUAAUAUAUGCUGACGUACCUAGGUUGUCGUUCUUGUCUCAAUUGCACAAAUAAAUAAUGAGCUUACGGUGUACGUAGAGGAACUGGUAGGGAAUAAGGUCGUACCAAGGUAACAAUUGCACAGCAGGGGUAGCGCUUGCGUGCAACACGUAAUCCGAAGAUUCCAGACGAGCGGCAUCGAACAGAAUGAAGUCCUGUUUUUCAGAAGCAACAAAACUUGGUGGGAAGACAUUUGAAGGAGCGUUGAGACUUGCGCAGUGGGAGGUGGUGGACUAAACAUUUAAUAAGUUUCCCUUCGGCGUCGAAUUGCACAUAUCUUAACAACUUGAUUUUCAUGUGUCAGUUUUAUUGUUUUGUUGUUUUCUGUGUUUAUAUGAGCAGAAGUGUGGCUAUAUACUGUUCCCAAGUUAGGUGAGACCUCCGAUGUACCAGCCUGAUGACUGAAAGCCUAAUUAGCAUACGCGUAGCGCAGCUAAUUAUGUUAACGCAUCUCGCCUCACGAUUCGUUCUUCGGGGUCCAAAUCUAACUAACGCCGUAAUUUCAUUGGCUGGAAACCUGAGAAGUGAACGGUGGUGUUGCAUCGCUACUUCAGUUAUGGCAUGUCUGACGUUUCCCCAUUAAUGACGCUACUGCUGUCUGAACUUUGGGAUGGAUCGCUUCUCCGCAGUUCUUAUGUUACAAAAGACUACAGUAAAUAGAUCACAGAAAUAUCUAAUAGUCAUUUCGUGUUGACAGUGGUAUAGACCAAUAUGUAUCGAAAGUAAUCUGAAAAUGUAAAGAAAAACAUCGCUCAGAAUUUACGGAACUACACUUGUGUUCCAGAAUCACGACUGACAAAUAAAAAACCGUGCUUUUUCUUUUUAAUUGUUAUUUUAAAAUACUUAUCACAAUUGCUCUGGUUAACGUACCACCAGCGUGUUUUUUUGUUGUGUUUUUCUGUUUGAAUGGUUUAAUAAAUUUUUAAUUUGAUA